AGUGAACGCUGGCGGUAGGCCUAACACAUGCAAGUCGAACGGCAGCGCAGUAAGAGCUUGCGCUUACGGGUGGCGAGUGGCGGACGGGUGAGGAAUACAUCGGAAUCUACUUGUUCGUGGGGGGAACGUAGGGGAACUAACGCUAAUACCGCCUACGACCUACGGGGGAAAGCAGGGAAGCUUCGGACCUUGCGCGCUGGCAUGAGCCGAUGUCGGAUUAGCUAGUUGGCGGGGUAAAGGCCUACCAAGGCGACGAUCCGUAGCUGGUCUGAGAGGAUGAUCAGCCACACUGGAACUGAGACACGGUCCAGACUCCUACGGGAGGCAGCAGUGGGGAAUAUUGGACAAUGGGCGCAAGCCUGAUCCAGCCAUACCGCGUGGGUGAAGAAGGCCUUCGGGUUGUAAAGCCCUUUUGUUGGGAAAGAAAAGCAGCAGGUUAAUACCCCGCUGUUCUGACGGUACCCAAAGAAUAAGCACCGGCUAACUUCGUG
This 491-nucleotide ribosomal RNA is filed under the name uncultured bacterium. Its description in RNAcentral is "partial 16S ribosomal RNA". It matches the Rfam family "Bacterial small subunit ribosomal RNA", at positions 29 to 507 of the family's 1533-position model. The record is from RNAcentral.